RNAcentral lists this transfer RNA (77 nucleotides) under [Butyribacterium] methylotrophicum. Its description in RNAcentral is "tRNA-Lys". The record is from RNAcentral. RNAcentral also lists the same sequence under 2 other names. Lineage: Bacteria; Bacillati; Bacillota; Clostridia; Eubacteriales; Clostridiaceae.
CCUGAGCCGGUGGGGUUUGCGCCCUCGGCGUUUUUGUCGGUGAUAGUGCCUUCUCCGGUGCCGGCCGGCGCUUCGGU